GGCUUGGGCUCAGUGGAAGGGCUGCUGCUUUGCAUGCAUAAGGUCUCAGGUUCAACUCCUCAAAUCUCCC
RNAcentral lists this transfer RNA (70 nucleotides) under Sphaerodactylus townsendi. Its description in RNAcentral is "tRNA-Ala". The record is from RNAcentral. Lineage: Eukaryota; Metazoa; Chordata; Lepidosauria; Squamata; Sphaerodactylidae.